CAGCCGCCGCGGUAAAACGGAGGGUGCAAGCGUUAAUCGGAAUUACUGGGCGUAAAGCGCACGCAGGCGGUCUGACAAGUCAGAUGUGAAAUCCCCGGGCUUAACCUGGGAACUGCAUUUGAAACUGUCAGGCUGGAGUCUUGUAGAGGGGGGUGGAAUUCCAGGUGUAGCGGUGAAAUGCGUAGAGAUCUGGAGGAAUACCGGUGGCGAAGGCGGCCCCCUGGACAAAGACUGACGCUCAGGUGCGAAAGCGUGGGGAGCAAACAGGAUUAGAUACCCCAGUAGUCCCUGUCUCUUAUAU
This 301-nucleotide ribosomal RNA is filed under the name uncultured bacterium. RNAcentral describes it as "partial 16S ribosomal RNA". It matches the Rfam family "Bacterial small subunit ribosomal RNA", at positions 509 to 809 of the family's 1533-position model. The record is from RNAcentral.